GACGAACGCUGGCGGCGUGCUUAACACAUGCAAGUCGAACGGAAAGGCCCUGCUUUUGUGGGGUGCUCGAGUGGCGAACGGGUGAGUAACACGUGAGUAACCUGCCCUUGACUUUGGGAUAACUUCAGGAAACUGGGGCUAAUACCGGAUAGGAGCUCCUGCUGCAUGGUGGGGGGUGGAAAGUUUCGGCGGUUGGGGAUGGACUCGCGGCUUAUCAGCUUGUUGGUGGGGUAGUGGCUUACCAAGGCUUUGACGGGUAGCCGGCCUGAGAGGGUGACCGGCCACAUUGGGACUGAGAUACGGCCCAGACUCCUACGGGAGGCAGCAGUGGGGAAUAUUGCACAAUGGGCGGAAGCCUGAUGCAGCAACGCCGCGUGCGGGAUGACGGCCUUCGGGUUGUAAACCGCUUUCGCCUGUGACGAAGCGUGAGUGACGGUAAUGUGUAAAGAAGCACCGGCUAACUACGUG
This 468-nucleotide ribosomal RNA is filed under the name uncultured bacterium. RNAcentral describes it as "partial 16S ribosomal RNA". It matches the Rfam family "Bacterial small subunit ribosomal RNA", at positions 28 to 507 of the family's 1533-position model. The record is from RNAcentral.